This 776-nucleotide ribosomal RNA is filed under the name uncultured Neocallimastigales. RNAcentral's name for it is "partial large subunit ribosomal RNA". It matches the Rfam family "Eukaryotic large subunit ribosomal RNA", at positions 18 to 616 of the family's 3401-position model. The record is from RNAcentral. Lineage: Eukaryota; Fungi; Neocallimastigomycota; Neocallimastigomycetes; Neocallimastigales.
UCAGACGAUGCGUCAUGCAUAUCAAUAAGCGGAGGAAAAGAAACUAACAAGGAUUCCCCUAGUAACGGCGAGUGAAGCGGGAAGAGCUCAAAUUUGAAAUCUUAAAGGGUUUCCCUUUACGAAUUGUAGUUUAAAGAAGUGUUUUCUGUUGAGGUUUUGGUAAAAUGUUCUUUGGAAUAGGACAUCAUAGAGGGUGAGAAUCCCGUAUUUGACCUUUACUUUCAACUUUGUGAUACACUUUCAAAGAGUCGGAUUGUUUGGGAAUGCAGUCCAAAAUGGGUGGUAAAUUUCAUCUAAAGCUAAAUAUUGGCGAGAGACCGAUAGCGAACAAGUACCGUGAGGGAAAGAUGAAAAGAACUUUGAAAAGAGAGUUAAACAGUACGUGAAAUUGUCAAAAGGGAAGCGUUUGACACCAGUGUUGUUUUUCUGAAAAUCAAUUAAAGAACUGUUUAUGCUAAGCUGUUUAGACUUUAUCAGCUAUACUGUUUAGUUUUGAGCUUUUCUUUAAUGCACUUUUCAGUUAACAAGUCAACAUCAAUUUCUUUUGCUGUAAAAAAGCUUGAGGAAGGUGGCUUGAGAUUCGUCUUAAGUGUUUAUAGCCUCUUGCCUAUGCAGUCGGAGAGAUUGAGGUCUGCAGCGUAGAUCCUUCGGGGCUAAAUGCAUUUGUGCUAAGUCAUAGCAUUUUAUAGACAACUUGUUGACUAUGAUUUGUCUUGUAGCUUACUCGCUUAUGUUAUUUUACCUACGCUUAGGAUGUUGAGCGCAUGUCUCUCUCU